UACGGAGGGUGCGAACGUUGUUCGGAUUCACUGGGCGUAAAGGGUCCGUAGGCGGCCCGGCAAAUCGGUUGUGAAAUUCCGACGCUUACCGUCGGAAUGGCUGCCGAAAAUACCGGGCUCGAGGUCGUCAGGGGCAAGUGGAACUCCUGGUGGAGCGGUGAAAUGCGUAGAUAUCAGGAGGAACGCCGGAGGCGAAAGCGACUUGCUGGGGCGAUUCUGACGCUGAGGGACGAAAGCUAGGGGAGCAAACAGG
This 253-nucleotide unclassified non-coding RNA is filed under the name uncultured Planctomycetota bacterium. RNAcentral's name for it is "uncultured planctomycete contains 16S-23S intergenic spacer region". It matches the Rfam family "Bacterial small subunit ribosomal RNA", at positions 524 to 776 of the family's 1533-position model. The record is from RNAcentral. Lineage: Bacteria; Pseudomonadati; Planctomycetota.